RNAcentral lists this long non-coding RNA (239 nucleotides) under Vigna radiata. RNAcentral's name for it is "long non-coding RNA (VRAD_LNC001974)". Lineage: Eukaryota; Viridiplantae; Streptophyta; Magnoliopsida; Fabales; Fabaceae. The record is from RNAcentral.
GGGUUUGGUUCAAAAUGAUCACAUCUUUAAAAAAAAAGGUUUAAUAAGGUUCCAUAUUUCAUUAAAAAUGUUUGAUAUGGUCCUUUUCAUAGACGCCGUUAAAAUCAUAACGGUGCAUAUGCUAGUGUGGUGAAACCUCAAUGAGUUGUUUACUUGGAUGAUUACGUGGCUCUGUGAAGUGAAGUAAGUUGGCAAAAAUGUUUAAAGUCGAGGUUAUUAUGUGUAAUAAAAGGGGUGGG